UAGGGAAUCUUCGGCAAUGGACGAAAGUCUGACCGAGCAACGCCGCGUGAGUGAAGAAGGUUUUCGGAUCGUAAAACUCUGUUGUUAGAGAAGAACAAGGACGUUAGUAACUGAACGUCCCCUGACGGUAUCUAACCAGAAAGCCACGGCUAACUACGUGCCAGCAGCCGCGGUAAUACGUAGGUGGCAAGCGUUGUCCGGAUUUAUUGGGCGUAAAGCGAGCGCAGGCGGUUUCUUAAGUCUGAUGUGAAAGCCCCCGGCUCAACCGGGGAGGGUCAUUGGAAACUGGGAGACUUGUGUGCAGAAGAGGAGAGUGGAAUUCCAUGUGUAGCGGUGAAAUGCGUAGAUAUAUGGAGGAACACCAGUGGCGAAGGCGGCUCUCUGGUCUGUAACUGACGCUGAGGCUCGAAAGCGUGGGGAGCAAACAGG
This 429-nucleotide ribosomal RNA is filed under the name Gemmatimonadota bacterium. Its description in RNAcentral is "Gemmatimonadetes bacterium partial 16S ribosomal RNA". It matches the Rfam family "Bacterial small subunit ribosomal RNA", at positions 355 to 776 of the family's 1533-position model. Lineage: Bacteria; Pseudomonadati; Gemmatimonadota. The record is from RNAcentral.